Long non-coding RNA from Ictalurus punctatus (channel catfish), 2194 nucleotides. RefSeq lists it as uncharacterized. The record is from RefSeq and is a predicted model, not a curated record. NCBI's taxonomy places the organism in Eukaryota, Metazoa, Chordata, Actinopteri, Siluriformes, Ictaluridae. The transcript is spliced from 4 exons.
GGGGGGGGGGGGGGGGGGGGCAGCUUGACUCAGCUACCCUUAUAAAUGGCUCCUCAUGGUUUUCUCUUAAAAUUAAGGCCUUCCUUGCGAGACAAGAAUCUUCACCAUCUGAAUUAUGAGUGCCCAUCGUCAUUCCUUCUUCUCCCCUUUACUGGAUCUGGAUCUGGACACUCAUUAUCAGCUUGCGCAUCUAACUGCUGAUAUCAUGGUGCUACUUAACUAUCUUCGCAGCACCCCCUCUGGAAAUGGAAAUGCGGGGUCCGUCCCCCCCCCCGAUACAAAAUCUGCCCCGUGAACGUGUGUAUUGACGCCUCUACACAGCCAAAACCCCCCUCCAGCUUUCAGUCUGAGGAAGAUGUCACCUUCUCUGACCUGGUCCCCGACCAUUCUUCCCACUUCUCACCUGCCAGUCCGCCCCACUCUCAGUGGUCCUCUCACUUCACCUUUGCUGACUUUCCCAUGUCCCCAGGACGCACCCCAUUUUCUUCCCCCCACCACUCUCCUCAAGAUUACGCACCCACCAGUCCUGUGAAUUAUCAAUAAAACUACAUAUUACUCAUACUAAGUGUCCCUCAUGUUUAUUUCAUGUCAUUUUUAUCCACAACACAGCCCACCUGAAGUACAUUGACAAUGUCUCGAGAGUCCUUGAAUGGAUGAAAUCAUUGUGCCAGCGGUACAAGGUCACUCCGGCCAAGUUAUUUCUGACGCGUGUUUCCAAGUUCCUCCAUUAACUUGAUGAGAGGCUGUCCGAGGGCCGAGUUGGCUCCACGAGGCUGUGGAGUCUCCAGAGACUGCUGCAGUGGGAGUGCAGACAUCUGUCCGGUCGAGUCGUGCUCCACAGGCAAGGCGUGCGAGCGGAGAAGAGUGAGGGAGUACUUACAGCUCCUGCACGGCAAACUGUCGGACGCUGUCCCUGUUUCACUGGAUGAUCUGAACUCGUCCAGCAGACCCGGACAUGCUCAACCAUUGCAUCGGGCUGCUGUGUGCUCACUUCUUUUCGGUCAGCGGACACAGGACCGGAGUCCUGCAGAACCUCACGACUGAGGAGUUUGAGAACCUCGAGAAGGCUGAAUCUUUCUGAUCAAUGUGAAGCAGCACAAACCUGCCUCUGCUUUUGGACUCGCUAAGCUAGCCGUCACCAAGCUGGAGCUGAAGUGGCUGAAAGCUUUCUGCCACCUGAGGAAGCAUAUGCCGGGAUAUGAGACUUCUGUGGGGUGGCUUUUCUUUUCUGGCACACAGGCCAGGAUUUCUGCGCAUGUCAAGCUUGCCCUGCGGGCACUCGUGGGAAGGGACAUCACUGUGUCGGACAUCCCCACAGCUCUAGCAACCUACUGCGAACGCAAAAGACGAACAACGCAUGCUCGUGACCAAGACGAUGUGCUACAGCAAUUAGCUGAGUCGUGGAGCUGUCGGUCAGCGAGGCGCACUCCGCCCAGUCUUCGCUAGAGUCCGCUGCGGGCAUAGGUGCUACAUAGGCCGGUUGUGUUUGGCUAAUGGCCCUGUGUGUGUGUGUGUGUGUGUGUGUGUGUGUGUGUGUGUGUGUGUGUGUGUGUGUGUGUGUGUGUAAAUAUUUCAUUAAAAUGUUUGAACUGAAUUCCCAUUGUCUUAAUAUUUUGACAUGUCCAAAAGUACAGUAGCAUCACUCAUGGCGAGACCACACAGCCGAAAUUUCCGAAAGUACAUGGACUGAGCUCCGGGCAGUGGGUGAAGUUCGCAGGCUUUGCCCAGGGAGAGAGUGUCAUCCUGGGCAUACACUCGUGAGCUCCAGGCUGAUCACUGCUGAAUUUUUUCCUCGUUGAUUUCAAUGGUUUAUGCGUUCCUAGUCAGGACAAGCUACUGUUUGUUGCACCUCUUCCAUCCUCCUCCACGGUCUGAAGCCAGCUGCAGCCACCUUUUCAUCAGCGUCACAAUCUCAGCACUUGUUGCCCUUGAUGUUAACGUGUUCUUUCGGACAGCAUCUAAUGAACAUGAGGCAAAACAGUUGACAACUUCUGCAAUUCGAGACACGCUAAAAAGGCUAUUUAUACUUCUACGUCAGACCUUUGCGUUGCCUGAUGUGCACCUCUAAAAAAACUGUAAUAACAUCUGUGUAUGCAGACAACAGUUGUGAUUGGUCCUUUGUGCAAACAGAGACCCUCCCCGGGGAUGAUAAAUAUAUCUGCAGUAAUUUCAUAUUCACUGAGAAUAAAUGUAA